CCCUUAGAUGUUCUGGGCGGCCCGCGCACUACAAUGGCGCUUUCAGCGAGUUCCUAUGUUGAAUUUUCCUUGGUAUUCUUGGAAGCGGCGUCUUGACUUGGGAUAGAUCCUUGUAAUUGUUGGUUUUGAACGAGGAAUUCCUUGUAAUCGCGGUUGAUCAGCUCGCGUUGAAUACGUCCCUGCCCUUUGUACACACCGCCCGUCGCUCCUACCGAUGGAUCGUCCGGUGAAGUUCACAGAGUGGCGGUUCGUGGAGUUGCUCGCGAAGUGAAAUGGACCUCACGAUUUAGAGGAAGGAGAAGUCGUAACA
This 310-nucleotide ribosomal RNA is filed under the name uncultured eukaryote. RNAcentral's name for it is "partial 18S ribosomal RNA". It matches the Rfam family "Eukaryotic small subunit ribosomal RNA", at positions 1470 to 1796 of the family's 1831-position model. The record is from RNAcentral.